AACGAACGCUGGCGGCAUGCCUAACACAUGCAAGUCGAACGAGACCUUCGGGUCUAGUGGCGCACGGGUGCGUAACGCGUGGGAACCUGCCCUUAGGUUCGGAAUAACUCCCCGAAAGGGGUGCUAAUACCGGAUAAUGUCUUCGGACCAAAGAUUUAUCGCCUUUGGAUGGGCCCGCGUUGGAUUAGCUAGUUGGUAGGGUAAAAGCCUACCAAGGCGACGAUCCAUAGCUGGUCUGAGAGGAUGAUCAGCCACACUGGGACUGAGACACGGCCCAGACUCGUACGGGAGGGAGGAGUGGGGAAUAUUGGACAAGGGGCGAAAGCCUGAUCCAGCAAUGCGGCGUGAGUGAUGAAGGGCGUAGGGUUGUAAAGCUCUUUUACCCGGGAUGAUAAUGACAGUACCGGGAGAAUAAGCUCCGGCUAACUACGUG
Molecule: ribosomal RNA, 433 nt
Filed under: uncultured bacterium
Lineage: Bacteria
Description: partial 16S ribosomal RNA
Rfam family: Bacterial small subunit ribosomal RNA
Source: RNAcentral